AUCACCUACGGGAGGCAGCAGUUAGUACUCUUGGUCAAUGUUCUGAAGCCUGAACCAGCCAAGUCGCGUGAGGGAAUAAGGCCCUACGGGUCGUAAACCUCUUUUGCCGGGGAGCAAGGGCCGGGACGAGUCCCGGUCCGGAGAGUACCCGGAGAAAAAGCAUCGGCUAACUCCGUGCCAGCAGCCGCGGUAAUACGGAGGAUGCGAGCGUUAUCCGGAUUUAUUGGGUUUAAAGGGUGCGUAGGCGGGCUUUUAAGUCAGCGGUAAAAAUUCGGGGCUCAACCCCGUCCGGCUGUUGAAACUGG
RNAcentral lists this ribosomal RNA (305 nucleotides) under uncultured bacterium. Its description in RNAcentral is "bacterial SSU rRNA". It matches the Rfam family "Bacterial small subunit ribosomal RNA", at positions 334 to 636 of the family's 1533-position model. The record is from RNAcentral.